This 370-nucleotide ribosomal RNA is filed under the name uncultured eukaryote. RNAcentral describes it as "partial 18S ribosomal RNA". It matches the Rfam family "Eukaryotic small subunit ribosomal RNA", at positions 592 to 976 of the family's 1831-position model. The record is from RNAcentral.
CAAUAGCAUAUAUUAACGUUGUUGCAGUUGAAAAGCUCGUAGUUGAACUUUUGGUAGGAGCGACCUGGUCUUGGGCUGUAUGGUCCUUGUUUUACCGUGUGUCGUAUCUGGCCAUCCUUCUUCGCUUGUAAAAGAGUGAGGAUCAUUUACUGUGAGUAAACUGGAGUGCUCAAAACAAGACGUAUUGUUUGGUACAUUUUAGCAUGGAAUAAUAAGAUAGGACCUAGCUACUAUUUUGUUGGUUUGCAUAGCUGGGUAAUGAUGAAUAGGAACAGUCGGAGGUAUUCGUAUUUAAUUGUCAGAGGUGAAAUUCUUGGAUUUCUGAAAGACGAACCACUGCGAAAGCAUUUACCAAGGAUGUUUUCAUUAA